Molecule: ribosomal RNA, 279 nt
Filed under: uncultured bacterium
Lineage: Bacteria
Description: partial 16S ribosomal RNA
Rfam family: Bacterial small subunit ribosomal RNA
Source: RNAcentral
UGCCAGCCGCCGCGGUAAUACGGAGGGUGCGAGCGUUAAUCGGAAUUACUGGGCGUAAAGCGCGCGUAGGUGGUCAGUUAAGUCGGAUGUGAAAGCCCCGGGCUCAACCUGGGAACUGCAUUCGAUACUGGCAGACUAGAGUGCGAGAGAGGGAGGUAGAAUUCCAUGUGUAGAGGUGAAAGUCGUAGAUAUUUGGAGGAACACCAGUGGCGAAGGCGGAUCACUGGCUCGAUACUGAAGCUGAGUUACGAAAGCCAGGGGAGAGAAAGGGAUUAGAUA